Molecule: ribosomal RNA, 317 nt
Filed under: uncultured bacterium
Lineage: Bacteria
Description: bacterial SSU rRNA
Rfam family: Bacterial small subunit ribosomal RNA
Source: RNAcentral
GAUGAGCGGCUAGCGAUAGGCUUAACACAUGCAAGUCGAGGGGUAACGAUGGGAGUAGCUUGCUACUUCUGAUGACGACCGGCGGAUGGGUGAGUAACGCGUAUGCAACUUGCCUCUUAGUGGGGAAUAACCCGGAGAAAUCCGGACUAAUACCGCAUACACUUAGUUAUCCGCAUAGAUGAUUAAGGAAAGAUUUAUUGCUAAGAGAUAGGCAUGCGUUCCAUUAGUUAGUUGGUGAGGUAACGGCUCACCAAGGCAUCGAUGGAUAGGGGAGCUGAGAGGCUUAUCCCCCACAUUGGGACUGAGACACGGCCCAA